CAGAAAGAUAGAUUUUUUCUUGAUUCCUUUCAAAUUGUUGUUGUGAACUUUCAUGAAAUAGGGACUCAGUUGUGGCAGUAUACAGUGGUUCUGUUGUACAGGUGAAAUCUCUGCAUCUUCUCAGAUUGCACCAAUUUGUAAUAAUAUUUUACUUGAAUCAUGAACUUUCAACUAUUCUUGUUUCAAAUUGUGUAAUAGGUUUUCUCUUUGACUUCCAUUUUCAAUCACAAUUUGAUUCCCUCUCUUGAGAUUCAAAACACGAUCUAUAUAGAAUAUUGUUUGUUGCCAUAUUUCUAUUUUUGUAUUCAAUGUGGUUUAUUCAUUUGUGGCUUUGUCUUUCUUCCUGUAUUUCCAAUCAAAAUAUACUCAAAGGAGUACGAACGAGUCAGUUCAAUUUCAAUUAUACCAUCGAAUGAAUUUCGCGGAACUUAUGUAUGUAGUGAAAAAAAACAACUAGAAAGAGGAGUAAAAACUUGGGUAAAAAGCAAUUUUUAUUGUGAAUUAACUUUCCAAAAUUGAAAAA
This is a long non-coding RNA of Lutzomyia longipalpis, 523 nucleotides long. RefSeq lists it as uncharacterized. The record is from RefSeq and is a predicted model, not a curated record. The transcript is spliced from 2 exons. Lineage: Eukaryota; Metazoa; Arthropoda; Insecta; Diptera; Psychodidae.